UUUGGAUGUUAUCUCUUUUUAUCUCAUAUAUGACACUCUAGCAGAUUUAAUAUUGGAAUGCAUCACCUGUGAAACCCUUCACAUGUCCUUCAAACCAAUCAAUCUGGAAUUCUCAGCGCUUUCUGUGCCAAUAAAGUCGGGUGUGGAAUUGGUAGAUUUAAAGCAGACCUGCUUCUUCUUCGACACAUUGGAUUUCUAGUCACCAUUUGGAUUGGGUUUAAAAGAUGAGGAAGUAGAGACAUUUCUUGGCCUGAGACUCUAACAGUAGAGAUAUAGACGAGAAAGUGAGAUCACAAGGAGACUAGCUAUUGACUGCAGGGCCCUGCCAGCUGCCUUGUGGGUAGCAUUAGUUGAAUUGGGAGCA
Molecule: long non-coding RNA, 364 nt
Filed under: Marmota monax (woodchuck)
Lineage: Eukaryota; Metazoa; Chordata; Mammalia; Rodentia; Sciuridae
Source: RNAcentral